This 253-nucleotide ribosomal RNA is filed under the name uncultured bacterium. Its description in RNAcentral is "partial 16S ribosomal RNA". It matches the Rfam family "Bacterial small subunit ribosomal RNA", at positions 524 to 776 of the family's 1533-position model. The record is from RNAcentral.
UACGUAGGGGGCUAGCGUUGUCCGGAAUCAUUGGGCGUAAAGCGCGUGUAGGCGGUCCGGUAAGUCCGCUGUGAAAGUCGGGGGCUCAACCCUCGAAUGCCGGUGGAUACUGUCGGGCUAGAGUGCGGAAGAGGCGAGUGGAAUUCCUGGUGUAGCGGUGAAAUGCGCAGAUAUCAGGAGGAACACCAAUUGCGAAGGCAGCUCUCUGGGACGUAACUGACGCUGAGGCACGAAAGCGUGGGGAGCAAACAGG